This 394-nucleotide ribosomal RNA is filed under the name uncultured bacterium. RNAcentral describes it as "partial 16S ribosomal RNA". It matches the Rfam family "Bacterial small subunit ribosomal RNA", at positions 523 to 918 of the family's 1533-position model. The record is from RNAcentral.
AUACGUAGGGGGCGAGCGUUGUCCGGAUUUAUUGGGUUUAAAGGGUGCGUAGGCGGAUGAUUAAGCGUGAGGUGAAAUGCCACUGCUCAACAGUGGAACUGCCUCGCGAACUGGUUGUCUUGAAUGCUCCUGCCGUGGGAGGAAUGUGUGGUGUAGCGGUGAAAUGCAUAGAGAUCACACAGAACACCGAUUGCGAAGGCAUCUCACGAAGGGGUGAUUGACGCUGAGGCACGAAAGCGUGGGGAUCAAACAGGAUUAGAUACCCUGGUAGUCCACGCAGUAAACGAUGAUAACUAACCGCUGGGUCGUAGUGAUUCAGUGGCCAAGCGAAAGCGAUAAGUUAUCCACCUGGGGAGUACGACCGCAAGGUUGAAACUCAAAGGAAUUGACGGGG